This 72-nucleotide transfer RNA is filed under the name Candidatus Kryptonium thompsonii. RNAcentral's name for it is "Candidatus Kryptonium thompsoni tRNA_Pro_TGG". It matches the Rfam family "tRNA". From Rfam's summary of the family: Transfer RNA (tRNA) molecules are approximately 80 nucleotides in length. Their secondary structure includes four short double-helical elements and three loops (D, anti-codon, and T loops). Lineage: Bacteria; Pseudomonadati; Candidatus Kryptoniota. The record is from RNAcentral.
CGGGGCGUAGCGCAGAUGGUUAGCGCUUGCCUUGGGAGCAAGAGGUCCCCGGUUCGAGUCCGGGCGCCCCGA